RNAcentral lists this long non-coding RNA (1055 nucleotides) under Citrus sinensis (sweet orange). RNAcentral's name for it is "long non-coding RNA (CSIN_LNC005128)". Lineage: Eukaryota; Viridiplantae; Streptophyta; Magnoliopsida; Sapindales; Rutaceae. The record is from RNAcentral.
UCCAAAAUUUGUGAGAUUUAAGCUCAUUCCAAGUGAGUUUUAGAAAAUGAUUUCCUUGGGUGCUAAGAGGAUCCAUUUGAGUGCAUAGGGUAUUGGGUUUUGAGAAUUUUCCUCAAUUUUAUAAAUUCUCAUUAUUAGUAAAAUUAUCUUCCAGUUUUUGCCCGUGGAUGUAGGCAUUACGCUGAACCACGUAAAUUAUUGUGUCAUAUUUUCUUUGCAUUUGUUUAUCACCACAUUUAUGUUUCUUUAGAAGUCGCAGUCACCAUAAUAUUGGUAAUUGCUUAACCUAUACUUCCGCAACAAUUGAAAUCAUAGUUGAAGGUUUGUGUUUGGGGUAUACGGUAUUGUUCACGUGUAUGGUACUAUUCACGUAUAUGGGAUUGUUAAUGUAUAUGGUACUGUUCAUGAAUACGGUGGAGCCAACAAUUCGUAUUUAGGAGCAUCAUUCGCCUAAAAUGUAGUUGUGUGGAUAAAUGCAUGUCUAAGAAAGUUCUGUCAACAAGACAAUAAGAGUUUAAGGAGUCUGGAUUUUAAACAGGACCAUUGUGACCCCUUUAUUCUGGGAAUAUUCCUGGUGCAUUAUCUAUACAAAUAGACAUGUAGGCAUUAUUUGUCCAUGUUAGGUAAUAAAGAAGGAUGAUAGAGGCAUUGUUCUCAUCUUCAUCAGCGAGGACUACCGUGACGAAUGCAAAAUUUAAAGUGUAGAAGUUUGAUAAUUUACCAGCUAGAAAAUUGAUAGUAAUGGAGUACAAAUUGACUUAUGGGUCCCGAGGAUGCAUCUCCCGUGAUUGGCAGGUGUAUGUACACCAUAUUUAUCGCGAAGCUAAUUUCGCGGGGGAUUUCAUGGCUAGUCAUGCCCUUACUCUCCCUCUUGGCCUUCAUCAUUUUGCUACCCCUCCCUUGGGCGUAGACUUGGCUACGUAAUGAUGGUGUAGGGACUGUGUUCCCUCGUGUUGUUUAACCUUAGCCUUAGCUGAGGUUCUUUGUUUAACAAAAAGAAAAAAAAGAAACUUUCUAUGCAUCCUUUCAAUUAAAUAACUAACUAUUGUCCUCUC